RNAcentral lists this ribosomal RNA (401 nucleotides) under uncultured bacterium. Its description in RNAcentral is "bacterial SSU rRNA". It matches the Rfam family "Bacterial small subunit ribosomal RNA", at positions 355 to 773 of the family's 1533-position model. The record is from RNAcentral.
UCGGGAAUUUUGGGCUAUGGGCGAAAGCCUGACCCAGCAACGCCGCGUGAGGGAUGAAGUAUUUCGGUAUGUAAACCUCGAAAGAAUGGGAAGAAUAAAUGACGGUACCAUUUAUAAGCUCCGGCUAACUACGUGCCAGCAGCCGCGGUAAUACGUAGGGAGCAAGCGUUGUUCGGAUUUACUGGGCGUAAAGGGCGCGUAGGCGGCGCGGUAAGUCACUUGUGAAAUCUCUGAGCUUAACUCAGAACGGCCAAGUGAUACUGCUGUGCUAGAGUGCGGAAGAGGCAACCGGAAUUCUUGGUGUAGCGGUGAAAUGCGUAGGUAUCAAGAGGAACACCUGAGGCGAAGGCGGGUUGCUGGGCCGACACUGACGCUGAUGCGCGAAAGCCAGGGGAGCAAAC